GAUGAACGCUGGCGGCGUGCCUAAUACAUGCAAGUCGAGCGAACAGACGAGGAGCUUGCUCCUCUGACGUUAGCGGCGGACGGGUGAGUAACACGUGGAUAACCUACCUAUAAGACUGGGAUAACUUCGGGAAACCGGAGCUAAUACUGGAUAAUAUAUUGAACCGCAUGGUUCAAUAGUGAAAGACGGUUUUGCUGUCACUUAUAGAUGGAUCCGCGCCGCAUUAGCUAGUUGGUAAGGUAACGGCUUACCAAGGCGACGAUGCGUAGCCGACCUGAGAGGGUGAUCGGCCACACUGGAACUGAGACACGGUCCAGACUCCUACGGGAGGCAGCAGUGGGGAAUCUUCCGCAAUGGGCGAAAGCCUGACGGAGCAACGCCGCGUGAGUGAUGAAGGUCUUCGGGUCGUAAAACUCUGUUAUUAGGGAAGAACAAAUGUGUAAGUAACUAUGCACGUCUUGACGGUACCUAAUCAGAAAGCCAUGGCUAACUACGUG
RNAcentral lists this ribosomal RNA (497 nucleotides) under uncultured bacterium. RNAcentral's name for it is "partial 16S ribosomal RNA". It matches the Rfam family "Bacterial small subunit ribosomal RNA", at positions 28 to 507 of the family's 1533-position model. The record is from RNAcentral.